Molecule: ribosomal RNA, 467 nt
Filed under: uncultured bacterium
Lineage: Bacteria
Description: partial 16S ribosomal RNA
Rfam family: Bacterial small subunit ribosomal RNA
Source: RNAcentral
ACAAACGCUGGCGGCGUGCUUAACACAUGCAGGUCGAACGGAAAGGCCCUGCUUUUGUGGGGUGCUCGAGUGGCGAACGGGUGAGUAACACGUGAGUAACCUGCCCUUGACUUUGGGAUAACUUCAGGAAACUGGGGCUAAUACCGGAUAGGAGCUCCUGCUGCAUGGUGGGGGUUGGAAAGUUUCGGCGGUUGGGGAUGGACUCGCGGCUUAUCAGCUUGUUGGUGGGGUAGUGGCUUACCAAGGCUUUGACGGGUAGCCGGCCUGAGAGGGUGACCGGCCACAUUGGGACUGAGAUACGGCCCAGACUCCUACGGGAGGCAGCAGUGGGGAAUAUUGCACAAUGGGCGGAAGCCUGAUGCAGCAACGCCGCGUGCGGGAUGACGGCCUUCGGGUUGUAAACCGCUUUCGCCUGUGACGAAGCGUGAGUGACGGUAAUGGGUAAAGAAGCACCGGCUAACUACGUG